GUUGCUGGCUCAGUGGUAGUGUGCAUGCUUUCUGUGUAUGAUGUCCUGGGUUCAAUCCCCAGGUCACG
Molecule: transfer RNA, 68 nt
Filed under: Dallia pectoralis (Alaska blackfish)
Lineage: Eukaryota; Metazoa; Chordata; Actinopteri; Esociformes; Umbridae
Description: tRNA-OTHER
Rfam family: tRNA (bases 6-62)
About the family: Transfer RNA (tRNA) molecules are approximately 80 nucleotides in length. Their secondary structure includes four short double-helical elements and three loops (D, anti-codon, and T loops).
Source: RNAcentral